This 77-nucleotide transfer RNA is filed under the name Nitrospinota bacterium. RNAcentral's name for it is "tRNA-Arg". It matches the Rfam family "tRNA". Rfam says of the family: Transfer RNA (tRNA) molecules are approximately 80 nucleotides in length. Their secondary structure includes four short double-helical elements and three loops (D, anti-codon, and T loops). Lineage: Bacteria; Pseudomonadati; Nitrospinota. The record is from RNAcentral.
GACCCCGUAGCUCACCAGGAUAGAGCGACAGAUUCCUAAUCUGUAGGUAGCAGGUUCGAGUCCCGCCGGGGUCACCA